GUUGCACUGCUUCAUGCAUCAACAAGAAGAUUUUCCUGCUGUACCGACAAUGAAGAUGACUUGGAACAAUUCAGUGAGGGUCAUAGUCAGCUUGCUGAUUUAGCACUUGAGCAUCUUCUUUUGGCCUCUCUUUUAGUAAUUACUGUCAUUGUGUUAUUUUGUUCAUGGAGCAAACUGUAACUGUGCAGUUUGAUUUACAACGCCAAAACUGAAUGUAGUUUGACGCUGCUCUUUUGCUUUG
Long non-coding RNA from Lolium rigidum, 241 nucleotides. RefSeq lists it as uncharacterized. The transcript is spliced from 2 exons. NCBI's taxonomy places the organism in Eukaryota, Viridiplantae, Streptophyta, Magnoliopsida, Poales, Poaceae. The record is from RefSeq and is a predicted model, not a curated record.